UCACAGCUUUACUGGUUGCGAUACUGUGAGCGCAUUUGUGAGAAGGGGGAAAGUAGGUUCAGUAAAGCUUCUCGAGAAAAAUACAGACUUGCGUAUCUAUGCUAAGUUUGGUACAAGACAGUAGUGUAGUGAUGACUUAUUAGUGCAAAUAGAGUAUUUUGUAUGUUAUAAGUAAGGAAAACCAAAUUACUAAGAUGGAAAGUAGAUCCGGACUGAUACAUUCUGUAAGAGAAGUGAGAUCAAAUAUAAUACUCUGCACUCAUGCGAAACUAUUGACUUACGUUUGCUACCUCAAUUUUAAGCACCACUUAACAUAUACACCAGACGGGCUAAUUACCAAACCUAUAUUUGAUUAAGCGCCCAUGAAAGAUAACCAUGCAUUUCUAAUGUUCAAAAUAGUCGCUGGAAACUUGGUGCAGACGGAAUCAAAUACGUGUGGACUGAUAGUGACAUUUUUCCAAUUGAGCUAGUGGACACACUUUUUACAAAGUUGCAAGAGGAUAAAAACAAUCAGGAUGAGGAUUAAAAUGAUGCAGGCAUUUCCCCAGACGGUUUAAGCACAGCGGGCCCGCGGUGCCUGGACUUCAAAAUCCAUUGCGCCGCGGCGCUUGAUUUUCAGAUAAUGACGUCGCGAUGCUUGAAAAGUUUACAAGCCAUUGCAAGCUCUGAUCCGAAUGUUGUCUGCAUUCUGGCAUCGACCAAUCCUUAUUAGUUUAAUGUUCAUAAUAAUAGAUUUGAUAAGACGUGAGCACGAUUUAUGGGUCGUUUAUAGGGGUGAAUUAUGGUGUGUAUCCCCAAAUAAUGGUCUAUAAUGAUCGAUUAUUACCGGUACACGUGACGUAAGAGAAAUUGAAGUACUACUAAUUAUCGUCGCUGUCAGAGAGUGAAAAAAGUGAAAGUGAAAGUGUCAAGGACGUUUAAGUGAUCCUGAGACCUCCAACCCACGAACCAAAAGUCUCAAGCAGCGAGUCAGUGGCAGCAAUAUUGUCCAAUGUUGUCCAUGGAAAACAGAAGUUGAAGGAGACUGCGAGUAGGCUCAGGCACAAUGAAAGGGGGUAAAAAACAGAAAAUUCUGCUCGCCUGAAGUCUGCUGUCCUCAAUGCUCUGGUGAUGGUCAGCAUUGAAGGACCAGACAAUGAGGCAGUGGAAGAAUGGUGGAUGCCUGGCACCAGGCGAAGCCUCGGGGAACAG
Molecule: long non-coding RNA, 1191 nt
Organism: Dreissena polymorpha
Lineage: Eukaryota; Metazoa; Mollusca; Bivalvia; Myida; Dreissenidae
Exons: 3
Source: RefSeq, a predicted model, not a curated record